AUUUAUAUAGUUUAAACAAAACAUUACAUUUUCACUGUAAAGAUAAAGGCCCCCUUUUAUAAAUU
RNAcentral lists this transfer RNA (65 nucleotides) under Acroneuria hainana. RNAcentral's name for it is "tRNA-Glu". It matches the Rfam family "tRNA". From Rfam's summary of the family: Transfer RNA (tRNA) molecules are approximately 80 nucleotides in length. Their secondary structure includes four short double-helical elements and three loops (D, anti-codon, and T loops). Lineage: Eukaryota; Metazoa; Arthropoda; Insecta; Plecoptera; Perlidae. The record is from RNAcentral.